UGGGGAAUAUUGGACAAUGGGCGAAAGCCUGAUCCAGCCAUGCCGCGUGUGUGAAGACGGUCUUCGGAUUGUAAAGCACUUUAAGUUGGGAGGAAGGGCAGUAAGCGAAUACCUUGCUGUUUUUACGUUACCGACAGAAUAAGCACCGGCUAACUCUGGGCCAGCAGCCGCGGUAAUACAGAGGGUGCAAGCGUUAAUCGGAAUUACUGGGCGUAAAGCGCGCGUAGGUGGUUCGUUAAGUUGAAUGUGAAAGCCCCGGGCUCAACCUGGGAACUGCAUCCGAAACUGGCGAGCUAGAGUAGGGCAGAGGGUAGUGGAAUUUCCUGUGUAGCGGUGAAAUGCGUAGAUAUAGGAAGGAACACCAGUGGCGAAGGCGACCACCUGGGCUCAUACUGACACUGAGGUGCGAAAGCGUGGGGAGCAAACAGG
Molecule: ribosomal RNA, 429 nt
Filed under: Pseudomonadota bacterium
Lineage: Bacteria; Pseudomonadati; Pseudomonadota
Description: Proteobacteria bacterium partial 16S ribosomal RNA
Rfam family: Bacterial small subunit ribosomal RNA
Source: RNAcentral